RNAcentral lists this long non-coding RNA (679 nucleotides) under Amphibalanus amphitrite. RNAcentral's name for it is "uncharacterized LOC122387570, transcript variant X1". Lineage: Eukaryota; Metazoa; Arthropoda; Thecostraca; Balanomorpha; Balanidae. The record is from RNAcentral.
UUCAAAAGUGGCAAUAGGCCAACUGGCUCGCUGAUUGGCUGUCAGCCUUGCCACGUCAUACUAUCCCCUGCUGCACAUACCACUAUAGAAGCCCGUGGUUACUUUUUGACCUCGUUUAAAAAAUAUCCUUGAGUUUGAUGCAAACUUGAGGCUUUUUAUGAAAGUUAGUUUUCGUUUUAAGUGACACAUGUGCACGAAACUAAAUAUUUCACUCUAAGUUUUACAAAUUUUGGGAUGAACGAUAACCGUACCCCUGGUGACGUCAUUUGUCGUUUUCCUGAUUUACACAGAAGACAGUCCCCCUAGAAAAGGCCUGAAUGGCGCAUGAUACAAUGUCGGCGCAAACUUGUUUAGCUUUUGUUGCGGGUUGUAUGUUGUAUUACCCACCGUGAUAUUGUGAAAAUAUAUGAAGUUAUUACGAAGUUCUUUUGAAAAUUUACUAGGCUUCUGUGGCAGGCAUCGUCAAAUUGAUCAUCACCAUAAUAUUGACAUGUAAAUGUCCUGCCAUACCUUUCAAUUUGGGCAAAACAGCGCAGCGCAGAAGAACCGGCAGACGCCGAUGUCCGGCCCGCGCUUCAAGAACUGACAGACGGCAGAUGCUGAUGUCACGAUGUGCCACCGGGGCAGCGCAGUAAACCCGACGGACGCCGACGUCCAGUCCGCGCAGUGUAACGCAUAA